This 776-nucleotide ribosomal RNA is filed under the name uncultured Neocallimastigales. Its description in RNAcentral is "partial large subunit ribosomal RNA". It matches the Rfam family "Eukaryotic large subunit ribosomal RNA", at positions 24 to 616 of the family's 3401-position model. The record is from RNAcentral. Lineage: Eukaryota; Fungi; Neocallimastigomycota; Neocallimastigomycetes; Neocallimastigales.
UACGACUACAUAUCAGGCAUAUCAAUAAGCGGAGGAAAAGAAACUAACAAGGAUUCCCUUAGUAACGGCGAGUGAAGCGGGAAGAGCUCAAAUUUGAAAUCUUCAAGGUUUUACCUUGACGAAUUGUAGUUUAAAGAAGUGUUUUCUGUUGAAGUUUUGGUAAAAGUUCUUUGGAAUAGGACAUCAUAGAGGGUGAGAAUCCCGUAUUUGACCAUUAUUUUCAGCUGUGUGAUACACUUUCAAAGAGUCGGAUUGUUUGGGAAUGCAGUCCAAAAUGGGUGGUAAAUUUCAUCUAAAGCUAAAUAUUGGCGAGAGACCGAUAGCGAACAAGUACCGUGAGGGAAAGAUGAAAAGAACUUUGAAAAGAGAGUUAAACAGUACGUGAAAUUGUCAAAAGGGAAGCGUUUGACACCAGUGUUGUUUUCUCGAAAAUCAAUUAAAAAGAGUUGGAUUUUGUGUUGUAUUGACCUUAACAGCUUGCUUCACUCUUUUCCAGCUUUUUUUAAUGCACUUUUCGUUUAACAAGUCAACAUCAGUUUCUUUUGUUGUAAAAGGGUCAUUGGAAGGUGGCUUUCUCUUCGGAGAAAGUGUUUAUAGCCUUUGAUCUCUGCAAUCGGAGAGACUGAGGUCUGCAGCGUAGAUCCUUCGGGGUUAGAUACAUUUGUGCUAAGUUAUAGCCUUUUCAUAGACAACUUGUUGACUAUGUAUCAGUCUUGUGACUUACUCGCUUAUGCUACUUUACCUACGCUUAGGAUGUUGAGCGCAUGUCUCUCUCU